UACGUAGGUGGCAAGCGUUAUCCGGAUUUAUUGGGCGUAAAGCGAGCGCAGGCGGUUUUCUAAGUCUGAUGUGAAAGCCUUCGGCUUAACCGGAGAAGUGCAUCGGAAACUGGAUAACUUGAGUGCAAGAGAGGACAGUGGAACUCCAUGUGUAGCGGUGGAAUGCGUAGAUAUAUGGAAGAACACCAGUGGCGAAGGCGGCUGUCUAGCUUGCAACUGACGCUGAGGCUCGAAAGCAUGGGUAGCGAACAGGAUUAGAUACCCUGGUAGUCCAUGCCGUAAACGAUGAGUGCUAGGUGUUGGAGGGUUUCCGCCCUUCAGUGCCGGAGCUAACGCAUUAAGCACUCCGCCUGGGGAGUACGACCGCAAGGUUGAA
Molecule: ribosomal RNA, 376 nt
Filed under: uncultured bacterium
Lineage: Bacteria
Description: bacterial SSU rRNA
Rfam family: Bacterial small subunit ribosomal RNA
Source: RNAcentral